Molecule: long non-coding RNA, 555 nt
Filed under: Carica papaya (papaya)
Lineage: Eukaryota; Viridiplantae; Streptophyta; Magnoliopsida; Brassicales; Caricaceae
Description: long non-coding RNA (CPAP_LNC010633)
Source: RNAcentral
ACAGCUCCCUCAAGUUCAUUGGGAAAACAACACUUGGAUCAGCACUGAAGAUCAAAUGAGCUACGGCUUCAUUAGUUUUUUCUGCAUUGUGUCUGCCAUCAAAGAACAUGUAUCCUCUCUGGUAUGAACAUAAAUUGGAGUGCACAUUUUUAAAUCCACACCCAAAUGCAUCAUGUGAUCCUGUUCCACAGCAUGCCAGAUUGGUUGUAAAGUACCCUGCACCAAAACCAUCCAAACUCAUAUCAUAUAUACAUAUAUGUACACUUUCUUCACAUAUAUAAUUUCCCCAUGAUGGGUAUUAUUAAUUACUCACUGUAAUUAUUGGGUCGGGCCAUUCUUCGGAGGCUUGAAUUGAAGUAAUCAUAAAUGAUGUAGUUGAAACCAUCUAAUGUUUCUGAUAAGUUCUCCAAUGUCUCCGACAGAAGCUGGUUGUGCUGAGCAGCAAGAUUUGAUGCCAAUGGAAGACAAAAGUUUCCCGUUUUGAAGUCUUGUUUCACAAUUGGCAGACACCCAAGCGGUGCCAAGUUCUGGAAUGCAAAUUUCCUUCCUCCCAAU